This 1347-nucleotide ribosomal RNA is filed under the name uncultured bacterium. RNAcentral's name for it is "partial 16S ribosomal RNA". It matches the Rfam family "Bacterial small subunit ribosomal RNA", at positions 28 to 1381 of the family's 1533-position model. The record is from RNAcentral.
GACGAACGCUGGCGGCGUGCUUAACACAUGCAAGUCGAACGGAAAGGCCCUGCUUUUGUGGGGUGCUCGAGUGGCGAACGGGUGAGUAACACGUGAGUAACCUGCCCUUGACUUUGGGAUAACUUCAGGAAACUGGGGCUAAUACCGGAUAGGAGCUCCUGCUGCAUGGUGGGGGUUGGAAAGUUUCGGCGGUUGGGGAUGGACUCGCGGCUUAUCAGCUUGUUGGUGGGGUAGUGGCUUACCAAGGCUUUGACGGGUAGCCGGCCUGAGAGGGUGACCGGCCACAUUGGGACUGAGAUACGGCCCAGACUCCUACGGGAGGCAGCAGUGGGGAAUAUUGCACAAUGGGCGGAAGCCUGAUGCAGCAACGCCGCGUGCGGGAUGACGGCCUUCGGGUUGUAAACCGCUUUCGCCUGUGACGAAGCGUGAGUGACGGUAAUGGGUAAAGAAGCACCGGCUAACUACGUGCCAGCAGCCGCGGUGAUACGUAGGGUGCGAGCGUUGUCCGGAUUUAUUGGGCGUAAAGGGCUCGUAGGUGGUUGAUCGCGUCGGAAGUGUAAUCUUGGGGCUUAACCCUGAGCGUGCUUUCGAUACGGGGUGACUUGAGGAAGGUAGGGGAGAAUGGAAUUCCUGGUGGAGCGGUGGAAUGCGCAGAUAUCAGGAGGAACACCAGUGGCGAAGGCGGUUCUCUGGGGCCUUUCCUGACGCUGAGGAGCGAAAGCGUGGGGAGCGAACAGGCUUAGAUACCCUGGUAGUCCACGCUGUAAACGGUGGGUACUAGGUGUGGGGUCCAUUCCACGGGUUCCGUGCCGUAGCUAACGCUUUAAGUACCCCGCCUGGGGAGUACGGCCGCAAGGCUAAAACUCAAAGGAAUUGACGGGGCCCCGCACAAGCGGCGGAGCAUGCGGAUUAAUUCGAUGCAACGCGUAGAACCUUACCUGGGUUUGACAUGGAUCGGGAGUGCUCAGAGAUGGGUGUGCCUCUUUUGGGGUCGGUCCACAGGUGGUGCAUGGCUGUCGUCAGCUCGUGUCGUGAGAUGUUGGGUUAAGUCCCGCAACGAGCGCAACCCUUGUUCACUGUUGCCAGCACGUUAUGGUGGGGACUCAGUGGAGACCGCCGGGGUCAACUCGGAGGAAGGUGGGGAUGACGUCAAGUCAUCAUGCCCCUUAUGUCCAGGGCUUCACGCAUGCUACAAUGGCUGGUACAGAGAGUGGCGAGCCUGUGAGGGUGAGCGAAUCUCGGAAAGCCGGUCUCAGUUCGGAUUGGGGUCUGCAACUCGACCUCAUGAAGUCGGAGUCGCUAGUAAUCGCAGAUCAGCAACGCUGCGGUGAAUACGUUCCCGGGGCU